GUUACUGUAGCGCAAUGGAUAGCGCGUUGGACUUCUAAUCCAAAGGUUGUGGGUUUCGAAUCCCACCUGGGAUGGCU
Non-coding RNA from Trichonephila inaurata madagascariensis, 77 nucleotides. The record is from the annotation of a GenBank genome assembly. Lineage: Eukaryota; Metazoa; Arthropoda; Arachnida; Araneae; Nephilidae.